Long non-coding RNA from Raphanus sativus (radish), 722 nucleotides. RefSeq lists it as uncharacterized. NCBI's taxonomy places the organism in Eukaryota, Viridiplantae, Streptophyta, Magnoliopsida, Brassicales, Brassicaceae. The transcript is spliced from 3 exons. The record is from RefSeq and is a predicted model, not a curated record.
CAAAAACGCAAAAAAACACAAAAAAACAAAAUAAUUGCUUCCAAUCAUCUUUUCUUCUCCUCUUAAUCCAAUUAGAUCAAAACCCACAACAAGAACCUCUUCCUUUCCACGCUGUGUUUCUCCGCGUACGCAUUUGAGAACUUGAAACCAGCUCCAGAUAUUUUCUUGGCUGCUUCAAAGAUAUUGGGUGUGCCGACAAGCGAGUGCAUUGUUAUUGAAGAUGCACUUGCUGGAGUCAAGGCUGCUCAAGCACUUGCUGUAUCACAAAGAACAUCUAUGAUGCUGUAAAAAAAGAGCAAUCCUAAAACGGAACAGGAUUGAAGAAUAAGGAGUUGAUAUGAUCAACAGUCUUCGCUUUUUCGGGAAAGCCGUGGCCAUCACCGUGCUGGUAUAUACACUGUACCACGCGGUUAAGAUUUGCUGCAGCAGCCACAAAACAAGGGGGAAGAGAAGAAGUAUGUGCUGUGUUGAAACCGGUAUUUAUGACGUCCCACGAGUCGCUAAUUAUACUUUGCAUCUGUUCACGUGCCUCUUCCUCACUGGCUCUUGUCUCGUACAUGUAACAUUGAACUGACUUUGGUGAAUCUCCUCUUGCCAUCUCUUCCUGUAACCAUUAAACAUAUUUCAGUGCUUUUAUGCAAUGAUGUAUUGAUGAAACCAUUUCAGUACUUAUUGUUAUCUUUUUUAUAUUUUUGAGUAAGAAAUAGUGUUACAAAACUAAA